AACGAACGCUGGCGGCAGGCCUAAUACAUGCAAGUCGAGCGGGUGUAGCAAUACAUCAGCGGCGCACGGGUGCGUAACACGUGGGAAUAUGCCUCUUGGUGCGGAAUAACACAGGGAAACUUGUGCUAAUACCGCAUAAUGACUCCGGUCCAAAGAUUUAUCGCCAAGAGAUUAGCCCGCGUCUGAUUAGCUAGUUGGUGAGGUAACGGCUCACCAAGGCAACGAUCAGUAGCUGGUCUUAGAGGAUGAUCAGCCACACUGGAACUGAGACACGGUCCAGACUCCUACGGGAGGCAGCAGUAAGGAAUAUUGGACAAUGGGCGAAAGCCUGAUCCAGCCAUGCCGCGUGAGUGAUGAAGGCCUCGGUUGUAAGACUCUUUUGUUCCGGGUACGGAUAAUGACAGUACCGGAGAAUAAGACUCCGGCUAACUCCGUGCCAGCAGCCGCGGUAA
This 452-nucleotide ribosomal RNA is filed under the name uncultured bacterium. RNAcentral describes it as "bacterial SSU rRNA". It matches the Rfam family "Bacterial small subunit ribosomal RNA", at positions 29 to 523 of the family's 1533-position model. The record is from RNAcentral.